This is a long non-coding RNA of Ornithorhynchus anatinus (platypus), 675 nucleotides long. RefSeq lists it as uncharacterized. The transcript is spliced from 2 exons. The record is from RefSeq and is a predicted model, not a curated record. Lineage: Eukaryota; Metazoa; Chordata; Mammalia; Monotremata; Ornithorhynchidae.
CUUCGGUUCAUCCUCUCUGACAACCGAAGGAACGCUCGUCUUCCUCUCCCUGUCAUCCCUCCUCUUCCGCUUCAGAACAGCCGUCUCUUCUGUUCCUCAGGGCCUCCUCUGAGUUCUGAAGGACACCAAGAGCCCCAGCGCCGACCCCCAGGUGCCCAGAGCCGAGCCGGCCCGAGUGCUGCCCUCCCCUGCCCGGGAAGCUCUAUUCCCUGUGACCGUGAGUCCCCGGAUGGUGCCAGCAACCAGGAGAGGGAAGGCGGUUGCCACCCGGCAGCCCCCAUCACCAUAGCAACUCUCAAAAUGGUUACUCAGCCAUCUGGGUUACCACAGCAACUAGCAAAGCACUCUCCACUUCACUCUCUCUCAGCCUCCCAGCGAGCCAUUUCCUAUUCCUUGCUGAAUGUGCAGGGAGUCUUGUUCCAUCUCUAACCUCCAAAUCGGCAGAGAGCGGCCCCCCGGGAACCAAUACCCAUAAUUCCCUGAGCCCUGAGCGUCUCCUUCAAGCAUCCAGCACCCAAUCCGAGAGCAGAGAACAAGAAAAGGGCGGGGGCUCCAGAGCUGCAGGCCCUCUCUGGACAUCUAGGAGGAGACGGGAAACCUAGAAAAUGUCCUGACAGUCGGCGAGACGAAACAGGCAAAUCAUAGAGUCAAAUUAAAAGCCGCUCUUUAUGGCAA